RNAcentral lists this ribosomal RNA (484 nucleotides) under uncultured bacterium. RNAcentral describes it as "partial 16S ribosomal RNA". It matches the Rfam family "Bacterial small subunit ribosomal RNA", at positions 30 to 507 of the family's 1533-position model. The record is from RNAcentral.
AUUGAACGCUGGCGGCAGGCCUAACACAUGCCAGUCGAGCGGAUGAAGGGAGCUUGCUCCUGGAUUCAGCGGCGGACGGGUGAGUAAUGCCUAGGAAUCUGCCUGGUAGUGGGGGAUAACGUCCGGAAACGGGCGCUAAUACCGCAUACGUCCUGAGGGAGAAAGUGGGGGAUCUUCGGACCUCACGCUAUCAGAUGAGCCUAGGUCGGAUUAGCUAGUUGGUGGGGUAAAGGCCUACCAAGGCGACGAUCCGUAACUGGUCUGAGAGGAUGAUCAGUCCCACUGGAACUGAGACACGGUCCAGACUCCUACGGGAGGCAGCAGUGGGGAAUAUUGGACAAUGGGCGAAAGCCUGAUCCAGCCAUGCCGCGUGUGUGAAGAAGGUCUUCGGAUUGUAAAGCACUUUAAGUUGGGAGGAAGGGCAGUAAGUUAAUACCUUGCUGUUUUGACGUUACCAACAGAAUAAGCACCGGCUAACUUCGUG